UGAGGAAUAUUGGUCAAUGGGCGAGAGCCUGAACCAGCCAAGUCGCGUGAGGGAGGUACUGCCCUAUGGGUUGUAAACCUCUUUUGUCGGGGAGCAAAAGCCGGACGUGUCCGUCUGUGAGAGUACCCGAAGAAAAAGCAUCGGCUAACUCCGUGCC
This 157-nucleotide ribosomal RNA is filed under the name uncultured bacterium. Its description in RNAcentral is "partial 16S ribosomal RNA". It matches the Rfam family "Bacterial small subunit ribosomal RNA", at positions 355 to 509 of the family's 1533-position model. The record is from RNAcentral.